UACGAAGGGGGCUAGCGUUGCUCGGAAUCACUGGGCGUAAAGCGCACGUAGGCGGAUUGUUAAGUCGGGGGUGAAAUCCUGGAGCUCAACUCCAGAACUGCCUUUGAUACUGGCGAUCUCGAGUCCGGGAGAGGUGAGUGGAACUGCGAGUGUAGAGGUGAAAUUCGUAGAUAUUCGGAGGAACACCAGUGGCGAAGGCGGCUCACUGGUCCGGUACUGACGCUGAGGUGCGAAAGCGUGGGGAGCAAACAGG
RNAcentral lists this ribosomal RNA (253 nucleotides) under uncultured bacterium. RNAcentral describes it as "partial 16S ribosomal RNA". It matches the Rfam family "Bacterial small subunit ribosomal RNA", at positions 524 to 776 of the family's 1533-position model. The record is from RNAcentral.